CGGGACGUAGCGCAGCCUGGUAGCGCGCACGCUUGGGGUGCGUGAGGUCGUGAGUUCGAAUCUCGCCGUCCCGA
RNAcentral lists this transfer RNA (74 nucleotides) under Acidobacteriota bacterium. RNAcentral's name for it is "tRNA-Pro". It matches the Rfam family "tRNA". Rfam says of the family: Transfer RNA (tRNA) molecules are approximately 80 nucleotides in length. Their secondary structure includes four short double-helical elements and three loops (D, anti-codon, and T loops). The record is from RNAcentral. RNAcentral also lists the same sequence under 1 other name. Lineage: Bacteria; Pseudomonadati; Acidobacteriota.